AGACAAUAGAUACCCAGGUAGUCCACGCCGUAAACUAUGGAUGCUAGCUGUUAGAGGUAUCGACCCCUCUAGUAGCGAAAGCUAACGUGUUAAGCAUCCCGCCUGUGGAGUACGGUCGCAAGACUAAACAUAAAGGAAUUGACGGGGACCCGCACAAGCGGUGGAGCGUGUUGUUUAAUUCGAUGGUAAGCGAAGAACCUUACCCAGGCUUGACAUCCUUGGAAUUUUGGCGAAAGCCGAGAGUGCCUUCGGGAACCAAGUGACAGGUGUUGCAUGGCCGUCGUCAGCUCGUGUCGUGAGAUGUUUGGUUAAGUCCAUCAACGAGCGCAACCCUUAUAGUUAGUUGAAUUUUUCUAGCUAGACUGCCCUGGCAACAGGGAGGAAGGAGGGGAUGAUGUCAGGUCAGUAUUACCCUUACGUCUGGGGCUACAAACACGCUGCAAUGGCCGGUACAAAGGGCAGCCAAGUCGCGAGACGGAGCAAAUCCCAUCAAAGCCGGUCUAAGUUCGGAUAGCAGGCUGAAACUCGCCUG
RNAcentral lists this ribosomal RNA (532 nucleotides) under uncultured bacterium. RNAcentral's name for it is "bacterial SSU rRNA". It matches the Rfam family "Bacterial small subunit ribosomal RNA", at positions 774 to 1318 of the family's 1533-position model. The record is from RNAcentral.